This is a long non-coding RNA of Phacochoerus africanus (Common warthog), 357 nucleotides long. RefSeq lists it as uncharacterized. The record is from RefSeq and is a predicted model, not a curated record. The transcript has 3 exons. NCBI's taxonomy places the organism in Eukaryota, Metazoa, Chordata, Mammalia, Artiodactyla, Suidae.
GGCCUGCACCCCAAGGGCCACUCCUGGAUCCAGGAAGCACCUCUUUUUACAGCGGGGACAGGGCAACCAGAGAGGUCGUGAACCCCGCCCACGGGCACCCACCAAACUACCGGGGAGGGACAGGACGAAGUGAGCCACAUGAGGAGCUUUGAUUCCAAUUCCAGUGCCGCUGGUUGGUCGCUAGCAGGUAAAACCUCCGGAAAUGGAGUGAAUCCAGCACUGCCCCCAUCAGGCUGCUCUAAGUACUGAGUGCUGAGCUGAAUGGAAAGGGCCAUUAGAGGAAAGAAGGAGGGUGUAUGUCAGGCUUUGUCAAGACUGUCAGAGACGACAGAGGGGCGGCUGAGGAGCUGCAGGUGA